CCAGCUGGCGAGCGACGCGGGAUUUGCAUUUGUCACCGUUUUAGAAGAGCGAAAUAAAAACGGAUCAAAUCAAAACCGUUUGGAGAUCGUCAACCUGCAACUCCUCUAUGAAAUACCACGAAUGCAAUGAUACAAAGUAAAAUGUAAAAGUAAAAUCAACUCCGAUCCAGUGGAGAUUCUAGCUUUUUAAAAGAUCAGGGGUUAAAGUUACCUGGGGCUUGAAGGAAGAUUGGCCUCGGUGCUAAAAUAGUCGGUGCUAGGCUUAACAUAUUCGGCGCUACAUAAGUAAUCGGACCUAACGACGCUCAUGCUCCGAACCGAGCCUCCCCUGAACACACACAUGUAAAAAUGAGAUGCUGUUCAAUCCGACUCCUGGCAACGAGCGCGUUCUGGUGCGGUUCCAGCGGACAUGUUGGAAAUUCAGGAGGACACACUGGCUUGUCUCGGAGCCAGGUUCUCCCGCUGUAGGCCCACUCCAGCCUUCUUCACGUCAGCCGAUUGCUGUCAGCAGAGGCUCUUGUACAACACCUGACCUUUGACAUCGGUGAGACUGAGAAGCAGCAUGGUGCCCUGAGCAGACAGCCCAGAUCCCUGCGUGUGCCUGGGGCAUGCAUGUUCCUCAUUCCAGCACCCUCAUCUCUUCCCUCAUCUUUUCUUCUCUUGGCCCGAGCAUAGAAAAGCUAAAAACAAAGAGGCAUAAUUUCUCAUGGUACAUUUUAUUUCUUAUAAAAAAUUUUAAUAUGUUGUGUUGCUUGCCAAAUUUUGCAAUUUUGUAUUACAAACUCAUUCCACUGACCGCACACAGAGUUGUGGUUCGAGAUCCCUAUUUCACAUGUUGUUCUGCAAGGGUUCCUGAUGCUCCAGGGAGGUGUGUGGUUGAGCCGAUUUGGACACUUUGCCUGUGAUUGGAAGGUUGCUGGUUCAAAUUCCAGUGUUGGCAGGGUGAUAUCACCUUUGGGCUCUUGAGCAAGGUCCUUAGCCCCCAACUGCACCAGGGGCUGUCAUGCUGCUUUUUCAAAAACGAUUUGAUGAAAAGACUUUUGAUGAAUGCACCUGCUAAAUAAAAUGUUUAUUUUUCUUUCCUCUUUU
Paramormyrops kingsleyae is the source of this 1089-nucleotide long non-coding RNA. RefSeq lists it as uncharacterized. The record is from RefSeq and is a predicted model, not a curated record. NCBI's taxonomy places the organism in Eukaryota, Metazoa, Chordata, Actinopteri, Osteoglossiformes, Mormyridae.